AUGUUGGUCAAACGGAGCAUCUUCGCUUCCUGCCCCCUCGAUGCUUUUUGCCCGUUCAUCAUAGUGCUGUUGGCGGCUGCGUACAUCCAUGUGCCAGCCACUGCUAUUGUUGCUGUUCCAAGUUCUCAUUGUUAUACAUUCGACAGUGAUAGCCACCUUGUUGACUUCACACACCUGGCCGGGAAGAAUUUUGAAUACAAUGAGGAGGGCUCAGUAACUUCUGACUUGGUUGUCCAGUUAUGCAAAGAUGUGCAGAGAAGGUCUCAGGCGGGUGGUUUCAUUGAUUUUGGCCGCUUUACAAAUCAUCGCUCUUUUGAGACUGGUUCAAAGCUGGUUGACUACAUCCAGAGAUUUCACAAUGGUGAUUUAGCGAAAUGUGAAACUACGUUUGAAGAGAUGGGCCGUACUGCACAGGUCAACAUUAUGUGUGGACGAUGCUCAAAUAAAGUAUGCAAAGAUGAACAUGGAUGCAUUUGCAGAGUAUCCUAUGAUGAAAGGAUGUGCAGGACGGUUGUUGAGCUAGCCAUUCCUUGUCCUAAAAGAGGCCCAAGAGUUUUUAAGGGUUUCACUGUGGGCUUCCACCCCCGGUCAUCCGAAGUGGUUUACAAUGGAUUGACUCAACUGGGAUUCGAACAACAUCAUGGGUUUAGCUUUCCAAGUGAGCAGAUUCACGUGUCUUUAUAUCUUAGCGCCAUGUCUUCUCUCGCAGACCUAGUUGGAAAACCUACCAUCAGGGUUAAUCCGAUGAAAGGGCUUGAUGUUAUGCUUACAGGAUCAGGGGCCAAUGGCGCCGUGCCUACUGCCCUGUCUCCAACAGUUCUGAAUGUGAAUUGGAUAUGUGAAAUCAUUCGAAGCAAUCCAUAUGUGGUGAAUGUUUCAAUCCCAGUGGUGGGCUACGAUCCAAUCGAAUUCACGCUUACCAAAGAAUGUGGUUACACACAAGAAAAAGAGAGUGAUUCUAUGAGAGGGUGGGCAACAUUUGGAAUCAUUUCUUGCAUAUUCAUUGUCUUUUCGAGCCUACUUUGUUGUGGGGGGUUCAUCUACAAAAGUCAUGUGGAGCAUCAGGAUGGUUUACAUGCACUGCCUGGGAUGACUACCGUGUCUGCCUUUCUGGAUGCUGUUGGAAGACCAAGAGGCUACCUAAGAGCAGGUGAUCCUAGUGGAAAUCAUUCAAGCCAAGCAUCGUGGGAGAACACUUCUGUUACCACACCAGCAGCACAGAGGACAAAUGAUGGAAGAUAUGGGAGAAUAUGA
This 1254-nucleotide ribosomal RNA is filed under the name Triticum aestivum (bread wheat). RNAcentral's name for it is "partial small subunit ribosomal RNA". The record is from RNAcentral. Lineage: Eukaryota; Viridiplantae; Streptophyta; Magnoliopsida; Poales; Poaceae.